CGGAGGACUCCGGGUCCAGGACGCCUGUGCUGAGAGACGCCUUCCUGUUUGGCCUGGCCUUGAGUUAAGACAUGGUUCCUGCGGACCCUGAUUGCAUCAGAUACUGAAUGCCAGGUUAUUCAAGAUCAAUGUUCACCUCCUCUUCUGGCUACCAGACAAAUAAUGACGGUUGCGUUAUAGCCUAACUCAUUAGUGGCCUUAAAAAAGAGGAUAAAGGACAGACAUACACGGAGGGCAUCAUGUGACAACAAAGGCAAACUGGAGGGAUGUGUCAAUAAGCUAAAGAAUGCCAAGGACAUCUGGCAACAGCAGAAGUUUUCUCUAUGACUCCCACGAUUUGCAACAUGAGAUGGACUGGCAUGUGAAAAGACCAUAGCCCACAUGAUGGACAAGAAGGCAUCAUGACCUUGGUAGUGUCCUGGUUCAACCAAGUCUGUGGUAGAAAUCAGGUCAGCAUGACCCCCUUCAGAU
This is a long non-coding RNA of Tupaia belangeri chinensis (Chinese tree shrew), 471 nucleotides long. RefSeq lists it as uncharacterized. The transcript is spliced from 5 exons. The record is from RefSeq and is a predicted model, not a curated record. NCBI's taxonomy places the organism in Eukaryota, Metazoa, Chordata, Mammalia, Scandentia, Tupaiidae.